RNAcentral lists this ribosomal RNA (484 nucleotides) under uncultured bacterium. RNAcentral describes it as "partial 16S ribosomal RNA". It matches the Rfam family "Bacterial small subunit ribosomal RNA", at positions 30 to 507 of the family's 1533-position model. The record is from RNAcentral.
AUUGAACGCUGGCGGCAGGCCUAACACAUGCAAGUCGAGCGGAUGAAGGGAGCUUGCUCCUGGAUUCAGCGGCGGACGGGUGAGUAAUGCCUAGGAAUCUGCCUGGUAGUGGGGGAUAACGUCCGGAAACGGGCGCUAAUACCGCAUACGUCCUGAGGGAGAAAGUGGGGGAUCUUCGGACCUCACGCUAUCAGAUGAGCCUAGGUCGGAUUAGCGAGUUGGUGGGGUAAAGGCCUACCAAGGCGACGAUCCGUAACUGGUCUGAGAGGAUGAUCAGUCACACUGGAACUGAGACACGGUCCAGACUCCUACGGGAGGCAGCAGUGGGGAAUAUUGGACGAUGGGGGAAAGCCUGAUACAGCCAUGCCGCGUGUGUGAAGAAGGUCUUCGGAUUGUAAAGCGCUUUAAGUUGGGAGGAAGGGCAGUAAGUUAAUACCUUGCUGUUUUGACGGUACCAACAGAAUAAGCACCGGCUAACUUCGUG